RNAcentral lists this ribosomal RNA (474 nucleotides) under uncultured bacterium. Its description in RNAcentral is "bacterial SSU rRNA". It matches the Rfam family "Bacterial small subunit ribosomal RNA", at positions 32 to 479 of the family's 1533-position model. The record is from RNAcentral.
AAUCAACGCUGGCGGCGUGCCUCAGACAUGCAAGUCGAACGCGAAAUUUCCCUUCGGGGAGAAAGUAGAGUGGCGCACGGGUGAGUAACACGUAGGUAAUCUACCUCUGGGUGGGGAAUAACAGCCGGAAACGGCUGCUAAUACCGCAUAAUGCAGCGGCUCGACAUCGAGACAGUUGUUAAAGCGGGGGAUCGAAAGACCUCGCGCCUGAAGAGGAGCCUGCGGCAGAUUAGCUAGUUGGUGGGGUAAUGGCUCACCAAGGCGACGAUCUGUAGCCGGCCUGAGAGGGCGGUCGGCCACACUGACACUGACAUACGGGUCAGACUCCUACGGGAGGCAGCAGUCGGGAAUUUUGGGCAAUGGGCGAAAGCCUGACCCAGCAACGCCGCGUGAAGGAUGAAAUCCCUCGGGAUGUAAACUUCGCAAGAAUGGGAAGAAUAAGUAGAGGCGAAUACUCUCUAUGAUGACGGUACC